GUGCAGACGGGGGCAUUUGUAUGGAGGGCAAGUCUGGUGCCAGCAGCCGCGGUAACUCCAGCUCCAAUAGCGUAUAUUAAAGUUGCUGCAGUUAAAAAGCUCGUAGUUGGAUCUCGGUAUCAUUGUUGCCUGCUGGCCUUAAAAGUGCUGGCCUGUCGGUGCAUGGGUGAGCCUGUGUGCCACAGUGUCGGUUUCUUCGGGUUGGUUUGGCGGCGGUGUCACCUUUCAGCCAUGUCUGUGGUGAAAUACCCACAGGUGUAGGCGAGUGCCAGGCGGUGCCUUGCAACUGUAGGGUUCGUCGGCUUGUCUGCAUGCCUAUGGAUGCCCUUUAAAAGGUGUCUGUGGGCGGAUGGCACGUUUACUUUGAACAAAUUUGAGUGCUCAAACCAGGCCGAUGUUGCCUGAAAAGUUUUGCAUGGAAUAAUGGAAUAGGACUUCGGUUCUAUUUCGUUGGUUUUCGGAUCCGAAGUAAUGAUCAAAAGAGACAGACGGGGGCAUUUGUAUGGA
This 507-nucleotide ribosomal RNA is filed under the name Neobothriocephalus aspinosus. RNAcentral describes it as "SSU rRNA". It matches the Rfam family "Eukaryotic small subunit ribosomal RNA", at positions 523 to 900 of the family's 1831-position model. The record is from RNAcentral. Lineage: Eukaryota; Metazoa; Platyhelminthes; Cestoda; Bothriocephalidea; Echinophallidae.